Molecule: ribosomal RNA, 373 nt
Filed under: uncultured organism
Description: partial 16S ribosomal RNA
Rfam family: Bacterial small subunit ribosomal RNA
Source: RNAcentral
GUAGGUGGCAAGCGUUGUCCGGAAUUAUUGGGCGUAAAGCGCGCGCAGGCGGUUCUUUAAGUCUGAUGUGAAAGCCCACGGCUCAACCGUGGAGGGUCAUUGGAAACUGGAGAACUUGAGUACAGAAGAGGAAAGCGGAAUUCCACGUGUAGCGGUGAAAUGCGUAGAGAUGUGGAGGAACACCAGUGGCGAAGACGGCUUUCUGGUCUGUAACUGACGCUGAGGCGCGAAAGCGUGGGGAGCAAACAGGAUUAGAUACCCUGGUAGUCCACGCCGUAAACGAUGAGUGCUAAGUGUUAGGGGGGUUUCCGCCCCCCUUAGUGCUGCAGCUAACGCAUUAAGCACUCCGCCUGGGAGUACGGCCGCAAGGCUG